This 61-nucleotide non-coding RNA is filed under the name Marmota monax (woodchuck). The record is from RNAcentral. Lineage: Eukaryota; Metazoa; Chordata; Mammalia; Rodentia; Sciuridae.
UAGGGGUGUUGGGGUUCAGCUCCCCUCCCCAAGCCCAGGUAACUCUUAAGGUGGAGGCGAC